Molecule: ribosomal RNA, 399 nt
Filed under: uncultured bacterium
Lineage: Bacteria
Description: bacterial SSU rRNA
Rfam family: Bacterial small subunit ribosomal RNA
Source: RNAcentral
AACGAACGCUGGCGGCGUGCUUAACACAUGCAAGUCGAACGCGAAAGGGACUUCGGUCCUGAGUAAAGUGGCGCACGGGUGAGUAACGCGUAGAUAACCUGUCUUCGAGUCUGGGAAUAAUACACCGAAAGGGGUACUAAUACCGGAUAUUCUUGCAUUUCAUAAGGAGUGUAAGCAAAGGUGGCCUCUGCAUAUGCUACUGCUUGAUGAGGGGUCUGCGUACCAUUAGCUAGUAGGUGGGGUAAUGGCCCACCUAGGCUACGAUGGUUAGCGGGUCUGAGAGGAUGAUCCGCCACACUGGCACUGGAACACGGGCCAGACUCCUACGGGAGGCAGCAGUGAGGAAUAUUGCGCAAUGGGGGCAACCCUGACGCAGCGACGCCGCGUGAGUGAGGAAGG